RNAcentral lists this ribosomal RNA (257 nucleotides) under uncultured Glomus. Its description in RNAcentral is "partial 18S ribosomal RNA". It matches the Rfam family "Eukaryotic small subunit ribosomal RNA", at positions 624 to 886 of the family's 1831-position model. The record is from RNAcentral. Lineage: Eukaryota; Fungi; Glomeromycota; Glomeromycetes; Glomerales; Glomeraceae.
AAGCUCGUAGUUGAAUUUCGGGAUUAGUACGUCGGUCGUGCCUUAGGUACGUACUGGUGUUACUGGUUUCUACCUUCUGACGAACCAUCAUGUCAUUAAUUUGGUGUGGUGGGGAGUCAGGACUGUUACUUUGAAAAAAUUAGAGUGUUUAAAGCAGGUUCGCGCUUGAAUACAUUAGCAUGGAAUAAUGAAAUAGGACGUUGAUCCUAUUUUGUUGGUUUCUAGGAUUGACGUAAUGAUUAAUAGGGAUAGUUGGG